Molecule: ribosomal RNA, 569 nt
Filed under: Colletotrichum sp. BDS-2011
Lineage: Eukaryota; Fungi; Ascomycota; Sordariomycetes; Glomerellales; Glomerellaceae
Description: eukaryotic LSU rRNA
Rfam family: 5.8S ribosomal RNA (bases 212-365)
Source: RNAcentral
AACAAGGUCUCCGUUGGUGAACCAGCGGAGGGAUCAUUACUGAGUUUACGCUCUAUAACCCUUUGUGAACAUACCUAUAACUGUUGCUUCGGCGGGUAGGGUCUCCGUGACCCUCCCGGCCUCCCGCCCCCGGGCGGGUCGGCGCCCGCCGGAGGAUAACCAAACUCUGAUUUAACGACGUUUCUUCUGAGUGGUACAAGCAAAUAAUCAAAACUUUUAACAACGGAUCUCUUGGUUCUGGCAUCGAUGAAGAACGCAGCGAAAUGCGAUAAGUAAUGUGAAUUGCAGAAUUCAGUGAAUCAUCGAAUCUUUGAACGCACAUUGCGCCCGCCAGCAUUCUGGCGGGCAUGCCUGUUCGAGCGUCAUUUCAACCCUCAAGCUCUGCUUGGUGUUGGGGCCCUACAGCUGAUGUAGGCCCUCAAAGGUAGUGGCGGACCCUCCCGGAGCCUCCUUUGCGUAGUAACUUUACGUCUCGCACUGGGAUCCGGAGGGACUCUUGCCGUAAAACCCCCAAUUUUCCAAAGGUUGACCUCGGAUCAGGUAGGAAUACCCGCUGAACUUAAGCAUAU